AGGGAUUGCCUUAGUAACGGCGAGUGAAGCGGCAAUAGCUCAAAUUUGAAAGCUGGCCCCUUCGGGGUCCGCGUUGUAAUUUGUAGAGGAUGAUUCGGCGAGGGCUCCCGUCUAAGUCCCUUGGAACAGGGCGUCAUAGAGGGUGAGAAUCCCGUAUGUGAUGGGCUGCCUUAGCCAUGUGAAUCUCCUUCGACGAGUCGAGUUGUUUGGGAAUGCAGCUCUAAAUGGGAGGUAAAUUUCUUCUAAAGCUAAAUACCGGCCAGAGACCGAUAGCGCACAAGUAGAGUGAUCGAAAGAUGAAAAGCACUUUGGAAAGAGAGUUAAAAAGUACGUGAAAUUGUUGAAAGGGAAGCGCUUGCAGCCAGACUUGUCCGCAGUUGCUCAGCCUGUCUCCUGACAGGCGUACUCUUCUGCGGCCAGGCCAGCAUCAGUUCGGGCGGUCGGAUAAAGACCUAGGGAAUGUAGCUCCUCUCGGGGAGUGUUAUAGCCCUGGGUGCAAUGCGGCCAGCCUGGACUGAGGAUCUCGCUUCGGCUAGGAUGCUGGCGUAAUGGCUGUAAGCGGCCCGUCUUGAAACACGGACCAAGGAGUCUAACAUCUAUGCGAGUGUUUGGGUGUCAAACCCAUGCGCGUAAUGAAAGUGAACGGAGGUGGGAACCCUCACGGGUGCACCAUCGACCGAUCCUGAUGUCUUCGGAUGGAUUUGAGUAAGAGCAUAGC
Molecule: ribosomal RNA, 718 nt
Filed under: Neofusicoccum viticlavatum
Lineage: Eukaryota; Fungi; Ascomycota; Dothideomycetes; Botryosphaeriales; Botryosphaeriaceae
Description: eukaryotic LSU rRNA
Rfam family: Eukaryotic large subunit ribosomal RNA
Source: RNAcentral